Molecule: long non-coding RNA, 4636 nt
Filed under: Sus scrofa (pig)
Lineage: Eukaryota; Metazoa; Chordata; Mammalia; Artiodactyla; Suidae
Description: lncRNA (ENSSSCG00035079879.1)
Source: RNAcentral
AAGUAAGAAGUAUUAUUUUAGGUUUUUGAAGGCUUGGGGUCAGUGAAACAAAGGUGUCUGAGAAGAAGAAUGGGGACAGAUCCUAAAGGGAAAGUCCCCGAUCAGAGUCAGAGGGAGGGUUCUGCUCUGAUCUGGAAAGGGAAUAAUUGAAAGAGAGCGCCUGGGUGAUGGAGGGUGAAGCAGGAAGGCUGCCGUCAUGAUCAUUUGGGAAAUGCACCCCAUCAGGCCGCCAAAUACAUUGAAAACAGCCCCACACACCAGUUAGGUAAACAUCUCUAACAUUUCUUAUUCGUUGGAUCUUCUUUCCUUUAAGAUAUGCCCUUGAGGAGUUCCCGUCGUGGCGCAGCGGAAGCAAAUCUGACUAGGAACCAUGAGGUUGUGGGUUUGAUCCCUGGCCUCGCUCAGUGGGUUAAGGAUCUGGCGUUGCCGUGAGCUGUGGUGAGGCUGAAGAUGCGGCCUGGAUCUGGCAUUGCUGAGGCUGUGACACAAGGUCAGAAGGUUUGCUUUCAGGUUUGCCUUGAAAAUCUGACCAAGCAAAUAUUUCAAUCUAGAGCUUCACCUAAAUGUCACCUUGUCAAAUUUUGAAGUUUAAUGCUAGACAACAGCUGUGUGGAACAGAGAUCACCAAGAGACAGAAAAAUAAGGGGGGAAAAAAAGGAUACCAAAUAAACCCAUUUAAGAUAUGUCAGUAGCUGAAUAUCCUCCUUGACCAAAUUCUAACCUUCUUAAAAAUGGUUGUUUGUACAUCAUAAAAAAAAAAAUCAAACAAAUAUCAUUAAUGCUCGAGGUGGGAGGGAAAAUUAACAUAUUCAUGAAUGAGCACUUUGCUUGCACUUGUCAAGGUUGAGACUUUGCUCUUGAACAAGUAAAAUUUUGUUUGAAGUACCAUUAAUUUAUCUGAAUUUACCAUCCUCUAUUUCAAAAUUCAUAUGAUACCUCUCAUCAAAUAAAGAAUUCCUUUCCAGACAAAAUGAUUAAACCUCAGAAGUGAAGUACAAAUUGGACUUUGAUUUUUCCUGGCCAGACCCCAUGACUUGGCUUCUAUCUUUAAUAGCUACAGAAGUCAAAAUAAAACAUAAACUAUAUUAGGUUAGCCUGUCUUUCCAAUAAUUUUAUGGGGGGAAAGAAUUUAAAUUGGCUGUUUACUUCAAUAAAGUGGUCAAUAUAAACAACGUGGUUGAUGGCAGACUAAGAGUGAAUGCAAGGGCUUUUUUGGGAAUGACUAAUUUGAUUAGCCAUCAAAUUAAAAUCCCAGAAUAAUAAACUUUUUCGUGACUUUCAGGAAGAUUCCAGGAGUUCCCGUCGUGGCUCAGUGGUUAACAAAUCCGACUAGGAACCAUGAGGUUUUGGGUACGAUCCUUGGCCUCGCUCAGUGGGUUAAGGAUCCGGCAUUGCCAUCAGCUGUGGUGUAGGUUGCAGACGUGGCUUGGAUCCCUCGUUGCUGUGUGUGUGGUGUAGGCCAGGGGCUACAGCUCUGAUUAGACCCCUAGCCUGGGAACCUCCAUAUGCUGAGGGAGCGGCCCUAGAAAAGACAAAAAGCCAAGAAGCCAAAAAAAAAAAAAAAAAAAAAAAAAGAUUCCAACUGAUUAUUCUACUCUGCACUGUAUCUUAAUCUCUUGGGAGGUGAAAAAUAUCAUACCUGUCUGGAGCUGGCCCCAAAGGCCCUGCCAACAGUGGAAGGGGAACCAGUCAAAACUAAGGAAAGCAACCACUGAACCAAAGCAAACAGGCAUGCAUAUGUGUUGUUAAUUUUUCAGAACCUAAAAGGCAGACUGAAGGAGUCCUCAUUUAAGCAGAGGUGGUUGUUUUAUCCUGUUUAGCUUUGUCAGCUUCAGUAGCUCAACAAGCCACACACAUCCAUAUGCCAGGCCCCUGAUCACAGAACCAUCAGGAAAGAAGUCAAUCCACUGAAGUCGACUCUCCUACGAACACUCAAGCAUGUGAAAUCUACCAGAGCCUGACCCACCCAUCCUCAACACCCACCAAAAAAGUCCAAUAUCCCUGAAGCACUGGUUCAGCGGGGUGGGGGGUGGGGGGGUCAUCUUUGGGAAGUAAGAUAACCGCCAUCACUUAUCUUCACCAGGAAGUGUGCUUGGGAGUUCCCUUUGUGGUUUGUGGCUCAGCAGUUAACAAACCCGACAAGGUUCCAUGAGGAUGUGGGUUCGAUUCCUGGCCUUGCUCAGUGGGUUAAGGAUUGGGCAUUGCUGUGAACUAUGGCGUGGAUCACAGACAUGGCUUGGAUCCCAUGUUGCUGUGGCUGUGGCACAGGCCAGCAGCUGUAGCUUCGAUUCGAGCCCUAGUCCAGGAACUUCCAUAUGCCUUGAGUGCAGCCCUUAAAAAAAGCCAAAAAAAAAAAAAAAAAAAAGUGUGCUUCUAAUCAGGGCAGAGGUGAGAACAAAUUCUCCCUUGCCUGUGGGAAUGUUACAAAGUACAACCUUCUGGAAAAACAAUUAAUCGCAAGGUCAGGAGACAGAGAAAGUCUUGAGAAGGUCCCUAUGUUUGAGCCAAUAAUUCCACUGCUAACAAUCUAGCCUGAGAAAGUGAUCCAAAAUAUAGAGAAAAAUUAUGACCAAAGAUGGUUAUUAAAGUAUAUUUACGGUAUUUGGGGUAAUUUGGAACCAUCUAAAUGUUAGAGGGGAGAAGGUAAAUGAACCUGGUAACGCCACACACGAGAAUGUCAUAUGGCUACUGAAAACCAUGAUCAGAGACACUGUUGACUUGACCUCGAAAAGUUACUUAAAACAUUUGAUGAAAUGCACGGAUCCAGACACUAUACAUAGUACAACUUCCGCAAAAAUAUGCAUAUCAAACAGACCGAAAAGAAAUACACCAAAACGUGAACAGUAAUUAUCAUUUGCUUAUGAUAUGUGUGAUUUUAACUUUCUCUUGUUCUACUAGCCUGUUUUACGAAAACUUUACAGAAAGCACAUGAUUUAAAAAAAGAAAACAUUAAAAAGAAAAAAUCAGGGCAGGGGGUGCCUGUUCGCCUGUUGAGUGGGCAGACUGAAACAGACUCAGGGAAAUAUUUCUGUCCUUCUGGAGGAGAUUCCAUGUCCUACCUGUCGCUCACACUUGAUGGAAACCCUGGUGCUGCCCUCCGCAUCAUGCCUGUGCCUCCCAUGACCUUGUCUUUGACUUUCAGCCUUCCCUAUUUAUCCUGAAACACCCUUCUGGCAGUUAUCUCUUCUCUGUAAACCAUGUUCUCCACCCCCCUUCGCCAGCAGGACCUAGUUCCAUGGCCUGGUCCGUUUCCUUCUGGUCCGGCCUGGUUGAGUCUGGGUACCGACAACAAGCAAAUUACCUUUGAAAGAAACAGGCAUGAUAACAUGAGUUAUCAAAGAAUAGGGCAAGGAAACACAGCUUUCAUAAUGGCUUCUAGAAAAGCACUUUCUAUACAGUGGGCUUCCCCUCACAGACCUGAUCCUAUACCAGGCCCCAGCUGGAAGUGAUCUCUUGGAAGUCCCUACUGUGACAACCAACCUUAAGGUCUGUGCAGAACCUUCCACGUUUCAGAGCACCUUCAAAGACUCACAGCAUUUCACCCUCCUGACUGUAAAGUGGAGAGAUCAAGCAUUAUUUUCCAAAUGGUACCAAAAAGAAAAUUGCAACUCAGGAGUUCCCGUUGUGGCUCAGCAGGUUAAGGACCCAACAUUGUCUCCCUGAGGAUGUGGGUUUGAUCCCUGGCCUGGCUCAGUGGGUUAAGGAUCUGCCUUGCAACAAGCUGCUGCAGAGGUCGGAUCCCGUGUUGCCGUGGCUGUGGUAUAGGCUGGCAGCUGCGGCUCCAAUUAGACCCCUAAACCAGGAACUUCCAUAUGCUGCAGGUGCAGCCAUAAAAAGAGGGAAAAAAAAUCACAGCUCAGAGACUGGGCACUGAGUGGCUUAUGCCCCCUGAUCCCCGAGGCGCGCUCCUCUGUAAAUAGUGAUGAUAAUACCUGCGUGGGGGAGUUGUCCUAGGGAUUAAAUGAGAUAAUGUAUGCAGCCUGCUCAGCACCGUGUCUGGAACAAGGGCAGCAUUCAGCAAAUGCCAGCUUCUAUGACUGUUAGGGUCAAAAGGAAGCUCAAGGUGACAUAGCUGGGAAGCGACAGUGCCAAGAUGGGAAGCCAGGCUGUUUCAAGCCAAGGCCACCCUUUUUUAGACUUUAUUCCCAGCACUGUAAGGAGUAUUAAGGCAUGGCCAGUGCCCUUAUAGAAUUUAUAAUAUUUUGUAGCAGGCCUAUCUCAAUCACAUAAGGUAAUAAAGCAGUUAUUCCCACAAAGAAUUAAGGCAACAGUAAUUAAAACUAGGAUGUAGCCCACAAGUUACACAGUUCUUUUGUCCAACAGCUACCACUAUAGCAUCUUCUUAUGCAUAGAUCCUAAAGCUCGGGAACCCCACAUUUCAUCCCUGUUUCAAAGAAGGCUUAUGUGGAGUUCCUGUUGUGGCUUAGUGGUUAAAGAAUCCGACUAGGAGCCAUGAGGUUUCGGGUUCGAUCCCUGGCCUCACCCAGUGGGUUAAGGAUCGAGUCUUUGCUGUGGUUGUGGUGUAGGCUGGCGGCUACAGCUCCGAUUAGACCCCUGGCCUGGUAAUCUCCAUAUGCCAUGGGUGCAGCCCUAGAAAAGGCAAAAAUACAAAAAAAAAAAAAAAAAAAAAAAAAAA